GGGGAGCUGCUGGAACUUUGCUUCCCAGGACAUGGAGAAAACAAGUGUUGUGUGGAUCUGUUACACAACACCCAGGAUAGAAGUUAAUUGUGUCAUUUUGAAUGAGAAGUGAACUUUAGCAGCAGACCAGGAGGGAACCCUCCUUGGUGCACUGCUGGAAUUUGCUCAGGGCACGCACAGGAUGGUUGGAAAAAACCCAGCCUGGGCAUGUCAGGAUUCAAAUAACGUGCACCCUCUCGUGGUUUAUUCCUGUCACAGGGUGAGCACACAGGAUGGUUUCUGUGUGGAACAGGCUGGGGAUCCCCUCAGCUGCUGUUGAUUUAAGAAAAGACUGUGCACUAAGAUUUGUUCUGUAUUUUAUGGGUUUUUUUCAAUGUAAGAGUUAUGCUACAUUUGCUGUAAAAGGAUUUCUGCCUUCAGUGUUUUUCAGACUCAUUCUUUCACCUUGAAAGGCCACUUCAAUGUGCAGGUGACCUGUCCCUUGGCAAGGUUUGGGUUGACACCAGUGGGGAUGGAUAUGAGGAUACUGCAGCUGGAGCUCCCCUUGAAGAUCAGCUUUCGAACCGUUCCUCUUUUGGCAGCACUUCCACCUUUAAUAAAGGUGAUAAAAACAAGAUCAAGGGCUGUGUUGCCCAGAGAGUAAAAACCUCUGGAAUUUCUUCAGGACUCCAGUAUUUUGGACAAUCCAUUGCUGGUGGCUUUGAUUUCCCCAGUGAUGGUCUCCAAGACAGGGCAGCAGGAUCUCUGGAGAACGUGACUCUGCUCUGCCAUGUGAGGUCCACUGUUUUUCCAGGGUUUUUCUGAGAAUUAAACAUGAGAAAAAUGAUAACAUGGAGUUUCCUGUUCCUGUGCUGGACAGACACCACCCAUCAGAAAAUGCAUUUUCAGUUCCCUGGCAUGGACUGCAGCAACAGGACCAUCUGUGCUGCUCAUUUGACUUUGACAAGGCAGAUAUGCAUUAAGAGCAUUCCUGAUCCUUUGGCAGCCAUCCUCUCCUGCUGGUCACUGUGGCCAACCAACACCACUAUCUGCUGCAGUCUGUGACUGCAGAACUGGGCAGCCUGUGCUCAAGGAGACAACUGUGAGUAGAAAUCAUUAACUUCCCUUUUCCCUGCCUCUAAAUGAUACUCUGAGUAGCUGCUCUUCAUCCUUUCUCUCUACAACCAGGCCAGAGCUGCUCUUCCUUCUAACUCAGCUCAUGGCUGGGGGGGCAUUCCCUCAAGGCAAGAGAUAACUUUUAUAUUCCUGCACUAAAUGUCUGAUUUUUCCAGGAGGGAAUGAUGGGCAGAAAAUACACCAGUCACCAUGUUUUAUCAGUACCCUGGUGAGUUACAGAGUAUUUACAGGGUAACUGAUAUUUUGCCUGUCUUUUCCCUCAAAAUAGGCAAAAUUUUCAGAGAUUUGGCAAUUAAAUGAAAGCAUGAUCCAAAAUAGGUCUGCAAUCACUAUGAGUAUCACUAAGUGGUGUUGUCUUCACCACAAAAUCCACUGUGAACUGGAAACACCAGAAUUCCUACCUGGAGACCAUUUGACUUGUUACAUGAAACCAGGCUUGUUCUUUUCAGCCUUCCAAAGCCUUUGGAUCCAUGUGAAAAAUCUUCCCUUAGGAUAAUUUUAACUUUGCUUAUACUUCCUUGUUUCAGUAAAAGAUGGAGCACCCUUGAAGGGCCUAAUUUAGGUGUAGCACAGAUUAAAAAAACUCGUGUUUUCUGAGGUGGCAAACUGGGUUCUGGCAUCCUCCUUCCUUAGCAGGGAGAACAGAGCAUUAAAAUAUAUAAUCCUGCUCUGUUCCAAGUAAAGCUUUUACUCCAAGUGAUUGGGAUGAAAAUAUUUGUUCAGGGCAUUUAUCUUGAUUAGGGGGAAGUUACCAUUCUGAUUCCUUUCUUGGAAUUUAUGGGGAACUGACUCCCAUUAAAAUUUAUGGGCACUGGAUAGUGCACAAGAUUUUUUUCUGUAUUUAUUUUAAUCAGAGAGCAUCUUUAAAAAGAAAAUGAGGGCUCAUCUCUGGCAGCUGCACUGCCUUGGAAGCACAGUUUAAGGCAAAGGUUUCUACAUUAAUUUAAUGUGCAGUUCUGUGAGGGGUAGAAGCUUUAAAUUUUGAAUAAUGAAAAUCCCUACGUGUUCACAAAUGAGCAAAUUGGUUUGCAGGGAAACAUUCCAAGGCAAUGGCAGCUUUCAAAACCUGUAGUGACAACGGGCUGCUCCAACACCACUGCCCCAUGUCACCCCUGGGCUGGCACCUCUCCUUUCUUAGUUCCUGCCACUGUCCCAUCCUUCCUGCACAGCCCAAAUCAGCAGUUCUCAAACCACGGAAA
Lepidothrix coronata (blue-crowned manakin) is the source of this 2315-nucleotide long non-coding RNA. RefSeq lists it as uncharacterized. The transcript has 5 exons. NCBI's taxonomy places the organism in Eukaryota, Metazoa, Chordata, Aves, Passeriformes, Pipridae. The record is from RefSeq and is a predicted model, not a curated record.